UGGGGAAUAUUGCACAAUGGUCGAAAGCCUGAUGCAGCGACGCCGCGUGAGUGAAGAAGUAUUUCGGUAUGUAAAGCUCUAUCAGCAGGGAAGAAAAUGACGGUACCUGACUAAGAAGCCCCGGCUAACUACGUGCCAGCAGCCGCGGUAAUACGUAGGGGGCAAGCGUUAUCCGGAUUUACUGGGUGUAAAGGGAGCGUAGACGGCGAAGCAAGUCUGAAGUGAAAACCCAGGGCUCAACCCUGGGACUGCUUUGGAAACUGUUUUGCUAGAGUGUCGGAGAGGUAAGUGGAAUUCCUAGUGUAGCGGUGAAAUGCGUAGAUAUUAGGAGGAACACCAGUGGCGAAGGCGGCUUACUGGACGAUAACUGACGUUGAGGCUCGAAAGCGUGGGGAGCAAACAGG
RNAcentral lists this ribosomal RNA (404 nucleotides) under Fusobacteriota bacterium. Its description in RNAcentral is "Fusobacteria bacterium partial 16S ribosomal RNA". It matches the Rfam family "Bacterial small subunit ribosomal RNA", at positions 355 to 776 of the family's 1533-position model. Lineage: Bacteria; Fusobacteriati; Fusobacteriota. The record is from RNAcentral.